CCUACGGGAGGCAGCAGUGAGGAAUAUUGGUCAAUGGCCGGAAGGCUGAACCAGCCAUGCCGCGUGAAGGGCAGGGCCCUAGGGGCGUUAAACUUCUUUUGUCGGGGAGCAAAAGCCGGACGGGUCCGGCUGUGAGAGUACCCGAAGAAAAAGCAUCGGCUAACUCCGUGCCAGCAGCCGCGGUAAUACGGAGGAUGCGAGCGUUAUCCGGAUUUAUUGGGGUUACAGGGUGCGCAGGGGGAUUUUUAAGUCAGCGGUCAAAUCGUGGGGCUCAACCCCAUCCAGCCGUUGAAACGGGGGGUCUAGAGUGUGCGAGCGGUAUGCGGAAUGCGUGGUGUAGCGGUGAACUGCAUCGCUAUCACGCAGAACCCCGAUUGCGAAGGCAGCAUACCGGUGCACAACUGCCGCUCACGCACGAAAGCGUGGGUAUCGAACAGGAUUAGAUACCCGGGUAGUC
RNAcentral lists this ribosomal RNA (457 nucleotides) under uncultured bacterium. Its description in RNAcentral is "partial 16S ribosomal RNA". It matches the Rfam family "Bacterial small subunit ribosomal RNA", at positions 338 to 795 of the family's 1533-position model. The record is from RNAcentral.